Molecule: non-coding RNA, 75 nt
Organism: Stegodyphus dumicola
Lineage: Eukaryota; Metazoa; Arthropoda; Arachnida; Araneae; Eresidae
Source: the annotation of a RefSeq genome assembly
GGCUCGAUGGUCUAGGGGUAUGAUUCUCGCUUUGGGUGCGAGAGGUCCCGGGUUCAAAUCCCGGUCGUCGAGCCC